Molecule: ribosomal RNA, 303 nt
Filed under: Triticum aestivum (bread wheat)
Lineage: Eukaryota; Viridiplantae; Streptophyta; Magnoliopsida; Poales; Poaceae
Description: partial small subunit ribosomal RNA
Source: RNAcentral
AUGAGUGAAGCAAAAUACAACAUCUAUUUCAGUCCCAAAGUGUUAAUACAAAAGGCAAAUAUUUGUAAAAAGCUCAAUAUCAUGUUUGAAGCUUUGUUAGAGAAAUACUACUUGGGAUUACACAUGGUUGGAGUUGACAGAAGUGAUAGAUUUGUUCAUCUUUUGAAAAGGAUUAUAACCAGAACGAGAAGCUGGAAGGAAAAAAAUAUCCAUGGGAGAGAAGGAAAUCUUAUUAAAGGCGGUUAUACAUCAAUUAUGGUAAUGUUUGUGUUUAAUAUUCCUAAGAAUUAUGCAAGGAAAUGA